RNAcentral lists this ribosomal RNA (402 nucleotides) under uncultured bacterium. RNAcentral's name for it is "bacterial SSU rRNA". It matches the Rfam family "Bacterial small subunit ribosomal RNA", at positions 355 to 774 of the family's 1533-position model. The record is from RNAcentral.
UGGGGAAUAUUGGACAAUGGGGGAAACCCUGAUCCAGCAAUGCCGCGUGAGUGAAGAAGGCCUUAGGGUUGUAAAGCUCUUUCGCCCGCGAAGAUAAUGACGGUAGCGGGAGAAGAAGCCCCGGCUAACUCCGUGCCAGCAGCCGCGGUAAUACGGAGGGGGCUAGCGUUGUUCGGAAUUACUGGGCGUAAAGCGUACGUAGGCGGAUGCGCAAGUUGGGGGUGAAAUCCCGGGGCUUAACCUCGGAAUUGCCCUCAAAACUGCACGUCUUGAGACCGAGAGAGGUAAGGGGAAUUCCUAGUGUAGAGGUGAAAUUCGUAGAUAGUAGGAAGAACACCAGUGGCGAAGGCGCCUUACUGGCUCGGUACUGACGCUGAGGUACGAAAGCGUGGGGAGCAAACA